GACGAACGCUGGCGGCGUGCUUAACACAUGCAAGUCGUACGGUAAGGCCCUUUCGGGGGUACACGAGUGGCGAACGGGUGAGUAACACGUGAGUAACCUGCCCACAACUUUGGGAUAACGCUAGGAAACUGGUGCUAAUACUGGAUAUGUGCUCCUGCUGCAUGGUGGGGGUUGGAAAGCUCCGGCGGUUGUGGAUGGACUCGCGGCCUAUCAGCUUGUUGGUGGGGUAGUGGCCUACCAAGGCGGCGACGGGUAGCCGGCCUGAGAGGGUGACCGGCCACAUUGGGACUGAGAUACGGCCCAGACUCCUACGGGAGGCAGCAGUGGGGAAGAUUGCACAAGAGGCGCAAGCCUGAUGCAGCAACGCCGCGUGCGGGAUGACGGCCUUCGGGUUGUAAACCGCGUUCAGCAGGGACGAAGCUUUUUGUGACGGUACCUGCAGAAGAAGCACCGGCUAACUACGUG
Molecule: ribosomal RNA, 465 nt
Filed under: uncultured bacterium
Lineage: Bacteria
Description: partial 16S ribosomal RNA
Rfam family: Bacterial small subunit ribosomal RNA
Source: RNAcentral